GGAAUGUCAAACUUGUGAGUUUCGUCAUGCCCUGAAUCAUUCCCUCAGCCAAAUGCACACGUUAACAUCAGAGGAUCACUCAUGUGGGCCAGUGAGCAUCAGGUCUCGGUCCCACAUGACUUUCGGUAGCGUUCCUCAUGGCCCACCGCAAGCGUAAUAACAGGAUCUGUAUGCACUGAACUCUGCCGUGUCCAAUUGAUGUGACAACCUCCCUAUCUAUUUAGACAGCGAGUUCACAUCCAGCUAAACAAUUAUGCUCUGCUUCUGCGCGAGUGUGCGCUCGGUUCGUAUAGGUCCUUCUCUUUGAACAGUAUCUUCUCUUUGCUUUUUGUUUGCUCACUGUUUCCUUCCUGCUCUAAUUUUCAGGACAGAGAAAUGAAUAAAAUUAGCAUACAGCACCCGAGGGACAUAUGGGAAGGUAAAUAAACAGCCGAAAAGUCAUCAUCUGAAUAUCAAAACAGCCAAUUUGCAUGGCGGGUGAUCAUUAACUAAAUGUGGAUCUACUUAUUUUGCCAAAUGUUAACAAGCAGGGAGAGAACAAGGAAGGAAGGGGCUGCUGGAGAAAUGGAAAACAACUUUAAUGUGGAUGAGUAAUCAAUGGCCCUGUUUGUACCCAGUACAAAAGAAAAAUGCCAACGUGUCCAGCGUUUCUUGGCUUGACCUUCCAAACAGGCGCUAUGUGAAUGGAAUCCUAAACUUGCCCGAACACCACGGAAACACUCAGGAGGGGGCGACGGGACAAUGAGAGCGUUGUUUCACCAGGCCCCCAUCCCAGAGACUGAUUGCCCGCCCCUCUUUAGCAGGCCUGCCCAAAUAUUUGUCAACCAGACACUGAAAAAACACUAAACAAGAGGGCAGAGGAUUCUAGAGCUUUACUAAGCAGCUUGGGGUCAUGUUGUUUUGGUGUGUUUGUAGUUGUGUAGGUAUGCAGGAGUUUUGACUGAGGAACACCGUUUAACACAAGACAACUGCUAAACCUCAAUCUUCCUGCAUUCCUACACCUGCACUUAAAAGGGUAAUAUGUUAAUUAAAGGGACAGGUCACCCAAAAAUUUAAAUUCUGUCAUCAUUUACUCACCCUUACACUGUUCCAAAUCUAUAUGAGUUUCAUGCUGUUGAACAUAAAAGAUAUUUUGAAGAAUAUUGGAAACCGAACAGUUGACGGUAGCCAUUGACUUCCAUAAUAGGGAAGUCAAUGGCUUCAAUCAAUGGCAUAAACUUCAUGAAAAUGAAAAGUAUAAUGGUAAUAAUAACACAGAAGUAAACAAAGGUUAAUA
Cyprinus carpio (common carp) is the source of this 1276-nucleotide long non-coding RNA. Lineage: Eukaryota; Metazoa; Chordata; Actinopteri; Cypriniformes; Cyprinidae. The record is from Ensembl.